UUAUGAACCAAGCGAAUGCUAAUAAGAGCAAAUCUGAGUCCGUCAUCGAGUCAAGCCCAGCACAGAAGAAAAUCAAAAUGGAAGACAGCAAGUACCUCCCGGAGCUCCUGGCUGAAAAGGACAGCUUGGAUUCUUCGUUCACACACGCCAUGAAGCUUAUUUCUGCAGAGAUUGAGAGGAUCCAGAAAGGUGAUACCAAGAAAGAGCCAGAGAAGGAAGCAUAUCUGGACCUGUUUGCUACCAAGAAUCUCAAACUCAAAGAGCGAGUACUCAUUCCCACCAAACAGUACCCUAGGGUCAACUUUGUCGGUAAGCUUUUGGGACCUCAGGGUAGCACAAUUAAGAGACUCCAGGAGGACACUGGUGCAAAAAUUUCAGUUCUGGGUAAAGGUUCCAUGAGGGACAAAAAUAAGGAGGAAGAGCUGAGGAAGGGCGGCGAGGCUAAAUAUGCUCACCUGGCCAUGGAGUUGCAUGUGUUCAUUGAAGUGACGGCACCCAUCCCAGAAGCCUAUCUGCGAAUGGCUCAUGCCAUGGAGGAAGUCAAGAAGUUCCUUAUCCCAGAACCUGGUGAGCAUGACCCGUAUAUGGAUCCUCACUUCUUGAAUGGAUCCCAGGAUGGUUCAGGCAGGGGGCGAGGUGGUCACCUAGGAAGGGGCAGAGGUGGACCUCCCGGUGCUGGAGGACCAAGGGGGCGAGGAAUGCCACGUGGGGGCCCACGAGGAGCAAUGCGUGGUGGAGCUCCACGGGGAGGACUAGGACGGGGCAGCGCCCCUAGAGGUGCACCAUCUGGUAGGGGUGGUCUACCUUCUGCACCUACUAGAGGAGGCUCAGCUCCCCGCUCUAGACCCCCUGCAGCUGGGGCACCAAGAAUGCUCCCCUCCUCAGCCCUGUCCCACCAGCAACACCAAGUUCCUCCUUCAGCAUCACAGCCCAAAGCUGAUGCCUAUGAGGACUAUCCUCCAUAUGAAGAAUCCUAUGCAGAGCCUGCCUAUGAAGGAUAUGAUAGUUAUUAUAGUCAGCAGUCUGCACCUGCGGAUACUGAAUACUAUGAUUACGGACACGGGGAGGCCCAGGAUUCAUCAUAUGAGCCUUAUGCUCAAGAUGACUGGGACAACUCAUGGUCCAACUCUGGGGCCGGAGGCAAAGCCCCCCCGUCCAGACAGUCGAAGGGAUCGUAUAGAGAACAUCCAUAUGGAAGAUACUGAACGGCUACUGGUAGAGAGUUGCUGUGGCAACUGUCUCCGAUUGUAACUCGCUUAACUUUUCAAAAGUUGUCAGAGAACUGUGUAGAUGCAGUUGACACAAUAAUCGCCAGCUUACCGGGCCUUUUUAAGGUUCAUUGAAAGUCCCUGGAGAGAGCAGAGGCCUUGCAGUGUCUCUGAGACUGAUCACCUCUUACUCAGUACUGAUCCCAUGAUCAGUUCAAAAAAAAAAAAAAAAAUGGAGAGAAAGCUUUCUUCCUCACUGAGAAAAUGUUCUGCUCUUCUGAAAUAUUGCUGAAGUAUUGAAAGAAAUACGUUUUUUUGUUGAAGACGUUCUGUAUGAUCAUUGAUCAUGUGGAAUUUUGUCUUUUGAAUGUGUCUAGAUUUUCCAUAUUUUUACACUGAAGACAUUUAGCUGUCUUUUUAUAAAAAAAAGAAACUGAAAAUAAAGGUCUUUUUUUAAUUAAAUUGUUUGUUGUAAGAAGUCUGUCUUUACAUGUGAUACAUCAGAUUACCGAAAGUGAACUGUAAGGAUUAGCAGGAUAAUUUGUUUUCUACCUAACAUCGUGCAAAGCUUUCAUUGAGGAUAAAUUGAACUUAUGCCUUUCAUCUCAUAGCCAUUUGUUGGCAAAGUCAUCAAAAAGGUUUUUCAUUAACUAAGCUCUUAACAUCAAAUGUGAGUGUUUUGAGUUUCUGUCUGAGCUAAUCACAGCACUGGAACAGCUCUCACUAAUGUCCUAAAUAACGUGCGCCCUAAUACUGAUACAGGAGAACCUGAAAGUCCUAGUAGUGUCGGGUCUUAGUUCAGCCUUUGAUACUAGAUCAAAACAUGACUACACAGACUGGAACAUUGGGUUGGAUUUUCAGGUACAGUAAUUAAGUGGCUAAGAUCAUGCUUAGAAGACCUUAGAAGCCUUUUUGUUUCCCUCAAAAUUAUACCACACCACCAACAUCUUUGACUCGUGGUGUCCCCCAGGGAUCGAUCUUAGGGUCUUUACUAUUCCACCUUUAUAUGCUUCCACUUGGAGAAAUUACAAUACAGUAAAAUUUCUUAUGCAGAUGAUACCCAAAGGUAUCGCAAGUGGGCCAACAUCAUAUUUGAUCAUUAUCAUUAAAAUACAAAGUGCUCUGAGAAGGCGUUAUUGAAUUGUUGUGAAUUGUUAUGGGUUUGGAGGUGGGCUGCCAGCAUUUUUGAGAUUUUCAAGUGGGCCAUGAGUUGGAAAAGGUUGAGAACCACUGCCCUAGAGUUUCUUAGUCAAUGCAUUGACCAGAUUAACUACUGGAUUUUCUUCAUCUGAACAGGGCCAAAACUGAAAAAAUCUUAUAGGUAAGAAUGAAGACAGACUUGGCAGAGAGAAUUGGCAUUCAUCUCAAUAUAAAAGGACUUAAAGUGAAAGAUAAUUCUUAAAAACUUUGGUGUCUUAAUUGACAGCAAUCUCAGAUAAAAAAAAACCAAACAAACAUAAAAGCCGUAACUAAAAACCUUUUUACAAUGUCAAAAACAUAGUCAAACUUAGAGGUCUAAUGAUAACAAUUGGAAAAAACAUAUUCAUGCUUUUAUGUCCAGCAGGAUUGACUACUUUAAUGGUCUUUUCACAGGCCUUCCUAUAAAGACCAUCAAACAGCUUUAGCUUGUACAAAACGCAGCUGCUUGUGUCCUCACGAGAACCAAAAGAACUGACCACAUUACUCCAAUAAGUCCUUCCACUGGCUUUUGGUACAUCCGGUGAAUCAGUACAUGGGGCAUGACCAAAAUACCCCUCAGAUAUGUUUCAGCAGUACACACCUGCUAAGCUACUCAGAUCACAGGAGAGAAAUGUGUUAGUAAUACUGUCAGAACUAAACAUGUGAAGCAGCUUUUAGCUGCUAUGCUGCUCAACUCUAGAACCAACGUCCUGAUGGUAUCAAAGCUGCUCCAACUGUGGCCUGUUUCAAGUCUAAAUUGUUCUGAGAUCCCUUUGUUAAGUGAUCAAAUGUACUGUACUUUCUCCCAAUGAAUGUACUCUUUUCUUUUUAACCUCUUGUUUUUAUUUCUAUUUAUUUUUUUUUCCUUUUAUGUUCUUGUAUUUGCUCAUUUUUAAAGUACUUUGAGUUGCCAGUGUGUAUUAGUGUUUUAUAAAUAAACUUGCCUUGCCUUA
Seriola aureovittata is the source of this 3340-nucleotide RNA transcript. It is a transcript of the gene named KH domain-containing, RNA-binding, signal transduction-associated protein 1-like, with no coding region annotated. Lineage: Eukaryota; Metazoa; Chordata; Actinopteri; Carangiformes; Carangidae. The record is from RefSeq and is a predicted model, not a curated record. The transcript has 11 exons.